Molecule: long non-coding RNA, 374 nt
Filed under: Sus scrofa (pig)
Lineage: Eukaryota; Metazoa; Chordata; Mammalia; Artiodactyla; Suidae
Description: lncRNA (ENSSSCG00070006076.1)
Source: RNAcentral
ACCGUGAAUCUUAAAACAUGGACAAAGGGAUCCUGAUGAAAGGACACCCCUUUCUCCUAAACCUAAUAGCGGAUCAUUGGCCCCACCAUUGGUAACAACAAUAAGAAAUGAUGAUGAAGAUGAUUGGCUGGAUCCUGAGGAUCAACAGAAAUUAGAGGAUGAGGAGGAAAGAUAUGAGAAAGAAAGAGAGGAAAGGGGAGAUGGACCAUUUAAUGCAUCCAAUUUUGGAGCUACAGGGUAUACACCCUCUUUAACAGAAGGUCAAAGACACCUGAUAAGAAAAACUGGAAAUAUCAGUGAUUUUAUCAGACAGUGCGCUGACAUUGGACCUGCAUAUGUGCAGGGCGUUACUAUGGCAGCCACACUCAAGGGUG